This 321-nucleotide ribosomal RNA is filed under the name Triticum aestivum (bread wheat). RNAcentral's name for it is "partial small subunit ribosomal RNA". The record is from RNAcentral. Lineage: Eukaryota; Viridiplantae; Streptophyta; Magnoliopsida; Poales; Poaceae.
AUGGCUUCGUCACCUCGCUUAUCACAGGAUUCUACACCUUCAUCACCGGUGGCUUCCCCAUCUCCAUCACCUGAGUUUAUUCUAGUGAUUCCUCCUCGUAUUCUUCCAUCUUUUCCUCACUUCUAUACCCGCCGUUUGUAUGUUGUGGAUGUGUCUACUGAUGCGCCAUCUGCUUCUGAUGUGCCAUGUUCCUCGUCUCAUCCUACUUAUGGCUUGCGUCCUCGUCUGCUUAUGCCUGUUGACCGCCUUGGUUUUCCAAGCGCAGGCGUUGCUGUUCUUAAGUCGACUUCGUAUCGUGAUGCUGUUGUUCAUCCCAAAUGA